GGGGGGGAUGCCCUUCGCGGACUUCGCACUCUGACCCACCCACGGGUGCGCACACCCUCUUCCGGACCGGACCUUCGCUCACGCGAACACGCUUCCCGUCUCGGAACGGCCAUAGGAAUUUGGGGUUAAGAGAUUAAAGAGAAUAAGCGACCAGAACUGGCGGAGGAUCAGCCCGAGGAGCGGGGCACGGUGGGGCGCGUUGAGGCACGGCAUUUCUCGUCGCCGGAAGGGAGAGCGCCGGGUCCGGGAGACGCUGGACGGCCAGGGCGAAAGGCGGCGAGUUGGGAGUCUGAGGAACGGAGAGGAGAGGGGCAGGAGCAGAAUCUGUGAGCCACGGGGCGAGAACAGGGGUCAUCCAAGAGAACGGAGUUCGUGGCGGCGGCUGAGGAUUCGGCAGCCUGACAGGACGGCGCUGUGAGGGAGGCAGGGAAACCUUCGCGACGAGGAGCCGGGGCAGGGGAGGGGGCUGAAGACUUUCUUCGAGCGGGGGCAAAACACGGCCUGUUAACCUCCACGGGGUCACCCCGGCCGACCUGUUGUCCGACGGCCGGGCCUGCACGGAAGCGAGCGCUGCCCUCCGCCCGUCCCGCCCUCGGCUGGGCGGCGAUGAGUCGACGUCCGUUCACAGCCCAGUGGGAACAACCGGUGUCUGGCCAAGCCGGUCGGAGCUGAUGGCGUUUCGGGGAGCAUUUUAGAGAUGUCCAUCAAUCAAUCAGUCAAUCGCAUUGUUUAAGAGCUUACUGUGUGCAGAGCCAAAAAUAAUAAUAAUGAUAACUGUGGUAUUUAUUAAGUACUAAGCGCCUGGAUACGAGCAGAUUGGGUGAGAGACGGUCCCUCUCCCACAUGGGGCUCACGUCUCAAUCCCCACUUUACCGCUGAGGGAACUGAGGCCCAGGGAAGCGAAGCGACUUGUCCAAGGUCACACGGCAGACAGGUGGCGGAGCCAGGAUUGGAACCCAGGUCCUUCUGAUUCCCAGGCCCGUACUCUAUCCUCGAGAGAAUAUAACACUAUAACAGAGUUGGCAGACACCUUCCCUGUCCACAACGAGUUUACAGUCUAGAGAGACAGACGUUAAUAUAAAUGAAUAAAUUCCGGACGUGGACGUAAGUGCUGUGGGGCUGAGGGAGGGGUGAAUAAAAGGAGCAAAUCCAGGUGCCGGGGCGACACAGAAGGGAGAAGGAGAUGAGGAAGUGAGGAUCUAGUCAGGGAAGGCCUAAUGGAGGAGAUGUCAGUGAGGCUUUGAAGGGACGUCUGUUGUCCUCGUCAAAAUAAUAAUAACUACGUAUCUGUUAAGUGCUUACUAUGUGCUAGACAAUGUACUAAGCGCCGAGGCACUGUAUCAUGUCGGGGAGGCCAGGGAAGUCACUUAUCAGUCGAUCAAGAGGGAGGGAGGGGGCCAUUUGAAAAGAUCCAAAUCUUUUUCAGAGAAGCUUCAACUCCAGAUGAGCAACCCCUCGCCUCUUGGCUGAACAAAGAUUUGUUAUAGGCCCUAAGUCGAUGAGCUGAUGUGAGUCAGAGGAAUUCAGCGCAUUUCAGAGGACAGAUCAGGUCAGCCCGCUUUCUUUUGGGAAGUCAGUUUUGAGUGGGGAAAAGGA
This 1596-nucleotide long non-coding RNA is filed under the name Ornithorhynchus anatinus (platypus). RNAcentral describes it as "lncRNA (ENSOANG00000036429.1)". Lineage: Eukaryota; Metazoa; Chordata; Mammalia; Monotremata; Ornithorhynchidae. The record is from RNAcentral.